This is a long non-coding RNA of Salmo salar (Atlantic salmon), 1681 nucleotides long. RefSeq lists it as uncharacterized. The record is from RefSeq and is a predicted model, not a curated record. Lineage: Eukaryota; Metazoa; Chordata; Actinopteri; Salmoniformes; Salmonidae.
GUUUCAUAUAACAUUUCCAAGCCAUUAUUUUUUGUCUUUCAACCAACGUGAGAAUGGCACAGGAAUUUGUGGAAACUAAACUUAGGGGAGACAAAGUUACAAUAUUUCUAAAACAAUCGUAUUGCGUGACGGCUAAAGAGGUCUUGUCAAAGUAUACAUUAAAAGCUGGGCAUUUAGAAUUUAUUGACAUAACAGGACGGAGAGAUAUGAGCAGUUUACAGGACUACUUUUUGGAGAUAACUGCGGCUCGGACGCCAUCUCAAUGACAACGCAAUCCAUGAACGUUGAUUGGCUUGAAACUCAUAACCUGUGAAUGUAUUCAACUAUUCAUAUUCAUUUCACUAGCCGUCAUCACUGAAUUCUGAAUCCGUAAUGAAGGUAACAUUUUGCUCAUGCACAGCUUCACAUUCACCUGUCCUCAAGUGAAUUGCCAUGCUCGCAUGGAUAAUUACACAGUAAUUUGAAAUAUUGAUUUCAGUCUGUUACAUAUCCCAUCAACAAUGAAUAGGGCAGCGAUUAUCAAACAAAGAUGUAUAGUAUUAUGCCUAACAUGAUAGAUUUGUUAUAGUCCUCCUAAGUCUAAUUUUUGGUUAAUGCUGGCCAGUUGAUGGCCAUUAUGAGGAUUCCGCAUCUCAUGAAGAACUUUACAUGGCCUAAGAAAUGCUGGUUCUGCUUUUGCGAUUCUUCAUUAUAUUUUGCUGUGUGUGUGUGUGUGUGUCCCACGGGUGUUAAUCGGUGAGGAAUGUGUGGGAGGGUGCAGUGACGUGACAGAGCUGAAUGAGUGGGAAACUGGAGUGGAUGCUGCAGUCCAUUGGCGCUCUGCAGUGAUGCACACACACUACACCAGGCCCCCAGACUGGGUGGAGCCGAGGUGGUUCAGGAGGCUGGAGACCAGAGUUCAGGGACCAGAGAACCACACCACCUGCUGGCCAAACAGGUCCUCUACAACCACCUUGGGACAACACAUCGCCUAAGGCCCUAAUGUAGAUUUAAAUAAUAUUUCUGUCCUUUUAGUUGACCCUUUUUGGCUCAGGAUUGCCAGAUGCAAAACUUCUGUAUAUUUUCUUUGUCAUAAGCUUACACCAAGAUACAGUGUAUGGAUAUUCUUCUCCAAUAACUGAAUAAAAAAUGCAUGGGUUGAAUUGUUGGUAGCCUCGGUCCAGCCCUCCCCCUUCAGAGCAAAUGUGAGAUUAGGGAGUCUGGCAACGCAAGAUUAGAUUGUUUGCAAUGCAUGUGUCAUACGUAGUAUACAAGGCAGAAGGGAGUGAAGAGUGAAACAAGCUAUUUUACCUGCAUCAAGGUAUCCCUCAGUCUCUGUGCUUCUAUGAUUUUCAUUUAUUAGAUGAAAUAAAAUGCAUCACGUCACUGCACCCUGCCAGACGACCAACAUGCGGAUUGGUCGUCUGGCAAUUCUGGGCUGGUCGAAAUUCACAAAAAAAAUAUAUAUAUAUAUUUUUUUUUUGGGGGGGUGAAUUUCGACCAGCCCAGAAUUGCCAGAUGACCAAUCCGCCCAUGGCAGCAGUUGACUGACAGCUCAACUGGAUCUCUCUCUCUCUCUCUCUCAUAUAUAUAUAUAUAUAUAUAUACAUUUGAACUCAGUUUUUCACAAUUCCUGACAUUUAAUCCUAGUACAAAUUCCCUGUCUUAGGUCAGUUAGGAUCACCACUUUAUUUUUAGAAUG